UGCACAGGCAUACACGCAUUUAGGGCCAGGCCCCACAGCACCCUCAGAGCUGCCCUCUGCCUCAGGGGGCCCUGGGCUCCUGAUGCCGCCAGGGGGAGCUGGGGGAGUAGAGAUGGUCCCAACUCCCUACAGAAAGAGUGAAGAGUGGCUUGGUCUCUUUCUCCAUCCAAAAUCGUCUCUGGAUCUCGAGAAGCAGCCCAGCGAGAGUCCCUCACCCCAGCUGGAGAGCAAAGUCACCAGCAAUGAAAUAGACAAAUGAAAAUGGGUUCUGUCAGAGAAUUCUCCUCUUAGCUCAACCGUCACUGAGGAGCUCUCCAAACCCAGGAACUGAUUUCUCCUCUCUCAGUCUCCAUUUCCAUAUCUGUAACGUGAAAGGUUUGGCAAGUUUUACAUCAUUCACUAGGACAAGCCCAACUGGACAAAACCCCAGAAGCAAGAAAAUAGCCUUACCUGGUAACCUGGCUGCAAUUUUGUGCCUCAGACCCAAGUCAACUGGUGCCCCACCCUCUGGACUAUAAAGUGACUGUGUAAGAGGCUGGGAGAGAGUAGAGUGGACAGCUGAAACGUGCUACACUGAGGGAGAAGAGCAUCUAUGCAAGAAGUUUGGUGCCUGAAACUCGGGGGCUUCUGGCGUUCGGCUGGAAACAUACUGAGAUGUCAGGCCACUAGGAUGGAAUUUUCAGGGUCUCGGGCCAUUUUUAAGGAAGACCACCAUCUGCAAAUGAGCUCAGAAAUAUCAUCACGAAAAGCAUGUCUCAGGAUAUGAGAAGUGAAAUGUUGAGACUCCCUGCUCUUCCUCGACCAGUAAAGGAAUCUUGUGUCCUGCACAACAUAAAUUAAAAUCUCCUUAG
This is a long non-coding RNA of Suricata suricatta (meerkat), 851 nucleotides long. RefSeq lists it as uncharacterized. NCBI's taxonomy places the organism in Eukaryota, Metazoa, Chordata, Mammalia, Carnivora, Herpestidae. The transcript has 6 exons. The record is from RefSeq and is a predicted model, not a curated record.